Molecule: long non-coding RNA, 1890 nt
Organism: Neopsephotus bourkii (Bourke's parrot)
Lineage: Eukaryota; Metazoa; Chordata; Aves; Psittaciformes; Psittacidae
Exons: 2
Source: RefSeq, a predicted model, not a curated record
GCUACGGAAGAAGUGACUAUGGGAAUAAGGGGAAAUUUAUGCAUGAGUCAAUGGGUAACCCACAGACCAUCUUCCUUUCACUAUGGAAUACUUCUUUCUUGUCUGAUGAAGUGACAUCUGGUUAGUAUAUUUGCCUGAUUAUUUAGUUCUCUGCAUCACUUGGAGCAAUGUAAUCUCUCUAAUUGGUACACAGAAUUUUUUCCAGUAUGGUUAAAGUAGCAGAUUCUGUGUUUAGCUUCUUUCAUGGUUGUUUUUGCUAUCAGCCCCAGAAAUCAUGCAAAAGAAAUGAUUUUGUCUAAUUUUGUUUUUAUGCAUUCACAGAGUCACCAUAUUAGCAGCCUUUGAAAUAAUAUUUAGGUCCACAUACAAAGGAAAUAAAAUGCCCUAAUUAAUUUUCUGCAUCACUGAGAUGGAGCUUCAGUCAAAUGGGGAAGGCAGACAUUGCGGAUGUCAGAGCAAGCCAUCCUAGAACCAAGCCUCCGGCAUUAUUUGGGAGCAAAAGACACUGUGAACGCGUUAACUUUGAAUGGUUCCCUGAACUGACCAAUUCGGUUUCCUGGUGCAUUGUAUUAGAUGUGUGGAUAUGCAUUCACAACUCUGGAUUCCCCUCUGAAAGCCAGGAUCCUUCAUGCUGAAGUCAGUGCUGCUUCUUAGGGUUCUAAAUCCCUGAAUUCAGUCUUAGUCAUGAGUUGCAAGAAUGCUAUCCAGCAUUGUAAGUAAGUCAGCAGCAUCCCCCAAAUAAGAUGAUAAAGCAGCUGUGUUGGCUCUAGAGCAGCUUAACUUUAAGCUUCUGAGUAUGAUGAAUUAUUGUUUAAGGAGAUGUAUUCAUAAUUCUGUUCCUUCCAAGCAGGUGGUUGAUAUUUUGAGAGCCCUGCUGUAUCAGCACUAUGUAUAUUUGGCACAGAAACUGCAUGAAUAUUAUAAAUUCUAUAUUUAAUUGGGUCUCAUAAAGAAAUCCUCUAAAUCAUAGUCAUCCCAUCAAACAAAACAGGAAAUUGACAUGGUGAGGUAUUCCAUAACAUUACCUCUUUUUUCCCCUAAAGGUUAAACAAAACUUUGUUAUUUCCUUAGAAGAAAAGAAAGAUGAGAGAGUCAAGUAUCUUUGAUGUAGUCCUAUUUAUCUGAAAGUAACAUAAAAUCCUAAUUGUUAGCACAGAAAUCAAGUAAUGUGAGAAAGUACUUUUAUAUACAACACCAAGCCUCCCUGAGCCAGCACUCAGCCAAAAAAAGCUCUCUGUUUAGGCUCUCAGCGAGACCACAAUGCCACUAUUCAUUCAGGUUGCAUCCUAUCUUUCCAGCUUGUUUCUAUCUUCCUUGAAAUAUUUCUGUAUCUCUGUCUCAUAUAUUUUGGGCAUAAAAUAUCACAGUAUCAUUUGCUAUACAUUAGGUGGUAAUACUACUUCACUGACAUUUGUGAAUGUUAGGUGGCAUUGUAUGGUGGGGGGUGAGAGUUGCUGUUGUUUCAACAUACUGGGGCUGCAAAAAUCCUAAUGUGUUCUUCUUUUCCUGAAUGAGAGUUCUUUCCAUAGAACUACGAGGCUAUGAUAAAUGGACUAAGUCAUAAUAAAUAGUAGAGAGACAGUUUAAACGUGUGUGAGUGAGCCUUACCUAAUAAAUAAGGGUAAAAUACACAUACCAAUGCAAGUAAACGGAGAUUUAUAUUUAGUUUCCUUAAGUGGUGUUGAAUCUGUACAUGACUGAAAGUGCUUUCAUUGUUAAUGUAUUGAGUUCUCCAUACCAUUUGGUUCAUGUGAAGUACUAUUUGCGCCUAUUUUAUCUAUAGUACAUCUAUUACAUCUAAUCAAACCAGAGGCACGAGAUUUGUACUAAAGGAAUGCAGUUCCUUAUUCAGCUGUAUCUGGAAAACUGAAUAAAGGGAGUGGGGGUUGA